This 511-nucleotide ribosomal RNA is filed under the name uncultured Flavobacterium sp. RNAcentral's name for it is "bacterial SSU rRNA". It matches the Rfam family "Bacterial small subunit ribosomal RNA", at positions 9 to 521 of the family's 1533-position model. Lineage: Bacteria; Pseudomonadati; Bacteroidota; Flavobacteriia; Flavobacteriales; Flavobacteriaceae. The record is from RNAcentral.
GAGUUUGAUCGUGGCUCAGGAUGAACGCUAGCGGCAGGCUUAACACAUGCAAGUCGAGGGGUAUAGGUUUUCGGACCUAGAGACCGGCGCACGGGUGCGUAACGCGUAUGCAAUCUACCUUUUACAGAGGGAUAGCCCAGAGAAAUUUGGAUUAAUACCUCAUAGUAUAAUGAUUCGGCAUCGAGACAUUAUUAAAGUUCCAACGGUAAAAGAUGAGCAUGCGUCCCAUUAGCUAGAUGGUAAGGUAACGGCUUACCAUGGCGACGAUGGGUAGGGGUCCUGAGAGGGAGAUCCCCCACACUGGUACUGAGACACGGACCAGACUCCUACGGGAGGCAGCAGUGAGGAAUAUUGGUCAAUGGGCGCAAGCCUGAACCAGCCAUGCCGCGUGCAGGAUGACGGUCCUAUGGAUUGUAAACUGCUUUUGUACGGGAAGAAACACUGGAACGUGUUCCAGCUUGACGGUACCGUAAGAAUAAGGAUCGGCUAACUCCGUGGCAGCCGCCGCUGU